RNAcentral lists this non-coding RNA (23 nucleotides) under Drosophila melanogaster (fruit fly). The record is from RNAcentral. Lineage: Eukaryota; Metazoa; Arthropoda; Insecta; Diptera; Drosophilidae.
UUCUGAUAGUAGCAUUACGUCGA